Molecule: ribosomal RNA, 1280 nt
Filed under: Eurema laeta betheseba
Lineage: Eukaryota; Metazoa; Arthropoda; Insecta; Lepidoptera; Pieridae
Description: partial 16S ribosomal RNA
Source: RNAcentral
GGAGGGGUAAAUUAAUAAAAAAAAAUAAAUAAAAAAAGAAGUUUAAAAAUAUUAUAAUGGGGGUUAAAGUAUUUUUUAAGAAAAAAUUUUUUAUUUUAUAGAAUAUUAGUAAUGUUAAAGAAAUUUGAAAUAUUUGAAAUAAUAAUUUUUAGUAAAGUAAAUUUAGUUUGUUGUAUCUUGUGUAUCAGAGUUUAUUAAAAAUAAUAUUUAGGUAAAUAAGUCUCGAAUUUAAAAGAGAUAAUUAAUUAAUAAAGUUAAUGUGGAAUAAUUAUUUUAAAUAGUUAAUUUGAAAUGAAAUGUUAAUCGUUUUUAAAUAUAUCUAGUUUUUUUAGAAAAAAAUUUAAUUUUUAAUUAAUUAUUUUUUUUUAUUAAUUUUUUAAUAAAAAGAAAAUUAAUUUUAUAUUUUAAGGGAUAAGCUUUAAAUUAAAUUUUUAUAAAUAAAAUUAAUAAUUUUAAAAUUUUUAAAAUUUAUAUUUUUUAUAAAUUAUAAUUUUAUAUAUAAUUUUAUAUAUAUUAUAAUUUUAUUUAAAUUAAAAUUUUACAUAAAUUUUUAUUUUAAUAUUUUAUAAAAAAAUAAUUUUUAAUUAAAAAAAAUUAGUAAUAAUGAUAAAAUCAGUAUAUUAAAAAAAAAUAAAUUUAAUUAAAAUAAAUUAAUAAAAAGGAAUUCGGCAAAUAUAUAUAUUCACUUGUUUAUCAAAAACAUGUCUUUUUGUAAAUAAUAAAAAGUCUAAUCUGCCCACUGAAUUUAUUUAAAGGGCUGCAGUAUAUUGACUGUACAAAGGUAGCAUAAUCAAUAGUCUUUUAAUUGGAGACUUGUAUGAAUGAUUUGAUGAAAUAUAAACUGUCUCUUUAUUAAAAAUAAAAUUUAAUUUUUUAGUUAAAAAGCUAAAAUAAUUAUAAAAGACGAGAAGACCCUAUAGAGUUUUAUAUUUAUUUUAUUUAGAAAUUAUUUAUAUAAUUUAAAUAUAUAAUAAUUUAAAUAUUUUAUUGGGGUGAUAGAAAAAUUAAAUAAACUUUUUUUAAAUUUUAACAUUAAUUUAUGAAAUUAUGAUCCAUAAUUUAUGAUUAAAAGAAAAAAUUACCUUAGGGAUAACAGCGUAAUUUUUUUUUUUAGUUCAGAUAAAAAAAAGAGUUUGCGACCUCGAUGUUGGAUUAAGAUAAAAUUUAAAUGCAAAAGUUUAAAAUUUUUGAUCUGUUCGAUCAUUAAAAUCUUACAUGAUCUGAGUUCAAACCGGUGUGAGCCAGGUUGGUUUCUAUCUUUAUAUAAAUAUAAUAAUUUA